This 274-nucleotide ribosomal RNA is filed under the name uncultured bacterium. RNAcentral's name for it is "partial 16S ribosomal RNA". It matches the Rfam family "Bacterial small subunit ribosomal RNA", at positions 523 to 796 of the family's 1533-position model. The record is from RNAcentral.
AUACGAAAGGUGCAAGCGUUGUUCGGAUUUACUGGGCGUAAAGAGAGUGUAGGUUGUUUAUUAAGUCGGAUGUGAAAUCCCGGGGCUCAACCUCGGAACUGCAUUCGAUACUGGUAGACUAGAGUUCGGGAGGGGUAAGCGGAAUUCCGUGUGUAGCAGUGAAAUGCGUAGAUAUACGGAGGAACACCUGAGGCGAGGGCGGCUUACUGGACCGAUACUGACACUGAGACUCGAAAGCGUGGGUAGCAAACAGGAUUAGAAACCCGAGUAGUCC